RNAcentral lists this ribosomal RNA (406 nucleotides) under uncultured bacterium. RNAcentral's name for it is "partial 16S ribosomal RNA". It matches the Rfam family "Bacterial small subunit ribosomal RNA", at positions 30 to 526 of the family's 1533-position model. The record is from RNAcentral.
AUUGAACGCUGGCGGCAGGCCUAACACAUGCAAGUCGAGCGAGCGGCGGACGGGUGAGUAAUGUCUGGGAAACUGCCCGAUGGAGGGGGAUAACUACUGGAAACGGUGGCUAAUACCGCAUACUGUCAGAUGUGCCCAUAUGGGAUUAGCUAGUAGGUGGGGUAAUGGCUCACCUAGGCGACGAUCCCUAGCUGGUCUGAGAGGAUGACCAGCCACACUGAAACUGAGACACGGCCCAGACUCCUACGGGAGGCAGCAGUGGGGAAGAUUGCACAAUGGGCGCAAGCCUGAUGCAGCCAUGCCGCGUGUGUGAAGAAGGCCUUCGGGUUGUAAAGCACUUUCAGCGGGGAGGCGUUACUCGCAGAAGAAGCACCGGCUAACUCCGUGCCAGCAGCCGCGGUAAUAC